RNAcentral lists this unclassified non-coding RNA (220 nucleotides) under plant metagenome. Its description in RNAcentral is "partial contains small subunit ribosomal RNA, internal transcribed spacer 1, and 5.8S ribosomal RNA". The record is from RNAcentral.
UUUCCGGAGGUGAACCUGCGGAAGGAUCAUUACAGAGUUCAUGCCCUCACGGGUAGAUCUCCCACCCUUGAAUAUUUAUACCUUAGUUGCUUUGGCAGGCCGUGGAAACACCAUGGGCUCCGGCUUAUGCGUGCCUGCCAGAGGAAACAAACUCUGUUUUUAGUGAUGUCUGAGUACUAUAUAAUAGUUAAAACUUUCAACAACGGAUCUCUUGGUUCUG